UUAAGUUAUUAAGGGCGCACGGUGGAUGCCUUGGCACUAGAAGCCGAUGAAGGACGUUACUAACGACGAUAUGCUUUGGGGAGCUGUAAGUAAGCUUUGAUCCAGAGAUUUCCGAAUGGGGAAACCCAGCAUGAGUUAUGUCAUGUUAUCGAUAUGUGAAUACAUAGCAUAUCAGAAGGCACACCCGGAGAACUGAAACAUCUUAGUACCCGGAGGAAGAGAAAGAAAAUUCGAUUCCCUUAGUAGCGGCGAGCGAAACGGGAAGAGCCCAAACCAACAAGCUUGCUUGUUGGGGUUGUAGGACACUCUAUACGGAGUUACAAAGGACGACAUUAGACGAAUCAUCUGGAAAGAUGAAUCAAAGAAGGUAAUAAUCCUGUAGUCGAAAAUGUUGUCUCUCUUGAGUGGAUCCUGAGUACGACGGAGCACGUGAAAUUCCGUUGGAAUCUGGGAGGACCAUCUCCUAAGGCUAAAUACUCUCUAGUGACCGAUAGUGAACCAGUACCGUGAGGGAAAGGUGAAAAGCACCCCGGAAGGGGAGUGAAAUAGAACCUGAAACCGUGUGCUUACAAGUAGUCAGAGCCCGUUAAUGGGUGAUGGCGUGCCUUUUGUAGAAUGAACCGGCGAGUUACGAUUUGAUGCAAGGUUAAGCAGUAAAUGUGGAGCCGUAGCGAAAGCGAGUCUGAAUAGGGCGUUUAGUAUUUGGUCGUAGACCCGAAACCAGGUGAUCUACCCUUGGUCAGGUUGAAGUUCAGGUAACACUGAAUGGAGGACCGAACCGACUUACGUUGAAAAGUGAGCGGAUGAACUGAGGGUAGCGGAGAAAUUCCAAUCGAACCUGGAGAUAGCUGGUUCUCUCCGAAAUAGCUUUAGGGCUAGCCUCAAGUGAUGAUUAUUGGAGGUAGAGCACUGUUUGGACGAGGGGCCCCUCUCGGGUUACCGAAUUCAGACAAACUCCGAAUGCCAAUUAAUUUAACUUGGGAGUCAGAACAUGGGUGAUAAGGUCCGUGUUCGAAAGGGAAACAGCCCAGACCACCAGCUAAGGUCCCAAAAUAUAUGUUAAGUGGAAAAGGAUGUGGCGUUGCCCAGACAACUAGGAUGUUGGCUUAGAAGCAGCCAUCAUUUAAAGAGUGCGUAAUAGCUCACUAGUCGAGUGACACUGCGCCGAAAAUGUACCGGGGCUAAACAUAUUACCGAAGCUGUGGAUUGUCCUUUGGACAAUGGUAGGAGAGCGUUCUAAGGGCGUUGAAGCAUGAUCGUAAGGACAUGUGGAGCGCUUAGAAGUGAGAAUGCCGGUGUGAGUAGCGAAAGACGGGUGAGAAUCCCGUCCACCGAUUGACUAAGGUUUCCAGAGGAAGGCUCGUCCGCUCUGGGUUAGUCGGGUCCUAAGCUGAGGCCGACAGGCGUAGGCGAUGAAUAACAGGUUGAUAUUCCUGUACCACCUAUAAUCGUUUUAAUCGAUGGGGGGACGCAGUAGGAUAGGCGAAGCGUGCGAUUGGAUUGCACGUCUAAGCAGUAAGGCUGAGUAUUAGGCAAAUCCGGUACUCAUUAAGGCUGAGCUGUGAUGGGGAGAAGACAUUGUGUCUUCGAGUCGUUGAUUUCACACUGCCGAGAAAAGCCUCUAGAUAGAAAAUAGGUGCCCGUACCGCAAACCGACACAGGUAGUCAAGAUGAGAAUUCUAAGGUGAGCGAGCGAACUCUCGUUAAGGAACUCGGCAAAAUGACCCCGUAACUUCGGGAGAAGGGGUGCUCUUUAGGGUUAACGCCCAGAAGAGCCGCAGUGAAUAGGCCCAAGCGACUGUUUAUCAAAAACACAGGUCUCUGCUAAACCGUAAGGUGAUGUAUAGGGGCUGACGCCUGCCCGGUGCUGGAAGGUUAAGAGGAGUGGUUAGCUUCUGCGAAGCUACGAAUCGAAGCCCCAGUAAACGGCGGCCGUAACUAUAACGGUCCUAAGGUAGCGAAAUUCCUUGUCGGGUAAGUUCCGACCCGCACGAAAGGCGUAACGAUUUGGGCACUGUCUCAACGAGAGACUCGGUGAAAUCAUAGUACCUGUGAAGAUGCAGGUUACCCGCGACAGGACGGAAAGACCCCGUGGAGCUUUACUGUAGCCUGAUAUUGAAAUUCGGCACAGCUUGUACAGGAUAGGUAGGAGCCUUUGAAACGUGAGCGCUAGCUUACGUGGAGGCGCUGGUGGGAUACUACCCUAGCUGUGUUGGCUUUCUAACCCGCACCACUUAUCGUGGUGGGAGACAGUGUCAGGCGGGCAGUUUGACUGGGGCGGUCGCCUCCUAAAAGGUAACGGAGGCGCUCAAAGGUUCCCUCAGAAUGGUUGGAAAUCAUUCAUAGAGUGUAAAGGCAUAAGGGAGCUUGACUGCGAGACCUACAAGUCGAGCAGGGUCGAAAGACGGACUUAGUGAUCCGGUGGUUCCGUAUGGAAGGGCCAUCGCUCAACGGAUAAAAGCUACCCCGGGGAUAACAGGCUUAUCUCCCCCAAGAGUUCACAUCGACGGGGAGGUUUGGCACCUCGAUGUCGGCUCAUCGCAUCCUGGGGCUGUAGUCGGUCCCAAGGGUUGGGCUGUUCGCCCAUUAAAGCGGUACGCGAGCUGGGUUCAGAACGUCGUGAGACAGUUCGGUCCCUAUCCGUCGUGGGCGUAGGAAAUUUGAGAGGAGCUGUCCUUAGUACGAGAGGACCGGGAUGGACAUACCUCUGGUGUACCAGUUGUCGUGCCAACGGCAUAGCUGGGUAGCUAUGUGUGGACGGGAUAAGUGCUGAAAGCAUCUAAGCAUGAAGCCCCCCUCAAGAUGAGAUUUCCCAACUUCGGUUAUAAGAUCCCUCAAAGAUGAUGAGGUUAAUAGGUUCGAGGUGGAAGCAUGGUGACAUGUGGAGCUGACGAAUACUAAUCGAUCGAAGACUUAAUCAA
This 2921-nucleotide ribosomal RNA is filed under the name Staphylococcus aureus VET0221R. RNAcentral describes it as "bacterial LSU rRNA". It matches the Rfam family "Bacterial large subunit ribosomal RNA". The record is from RNAcentral. Lineage: Bacteria; Bacillati; Bacillota; Bacilli; Caryophanales; Staphylococcaceae.